RNAcentral lists this ribosomal RNA (645 nucleotides) under uncultured marine eukaryote. RNAcentral describes it as "SSU rRNA". It matches the Rfam family "Eukaryotic small subunit ribosomal RNA", at positions 613 to 1259 of the family's 1831-position model. The record is from RNAcentral.
UUGUGGUUAAAAAGCUCGUAGUUGGAUCUCAACAGCCUUGAAGCGGUUAACUUUGUAGUUUUACUGCUUUAUAGGCUGUGCUUUUGCUGGAGGUUUAGGGGUGCUCUUGAUCGAGUGUCUCUGGAUGCCAGCAGGUUUACUUUGAAAAAAUUAGAGUGCUCAAAGCAGGCUAAAAUGCCUGAAUAUUCGUGCAUGGAAUAAUAGAAUAGGAUGUCGAUCCUAUUUUGUUGGUUUUCGGGACUCGACAUAAUGAUAAAUAGGGACAGUCGGGGGCAUUUGUAUUCAAACGACAGAGGUGAAAUUCUUGGACCGUUUGAAGACAAACUACUGCGAAAGCAUUUGCCAAGAAUGUUUUCAUUAAUCAAGAACGAAAGUUAGAGGUUCGAAGGCGAUUAGAUACCGCCCUAGUUCUAACCAUAAACGAUGCCAGCUAGCGAUCUGCCUGCGUUUUUACUGUAGACUGGGCAGGAAGCUUCCGGGAAACCAAAGCAUUUGGGUUCCAGGGGAAGUAUGGUUGCAAAGCUGAAACUUAAAGGAAUUGACGGAAGGGCACCACCAGGAGUGGAGCCUGUGGCUUAAUUUGACUCAACACGGGAAAUCUCACCAGGCCCGGACACUGGAAGGAUCGACAGAUUGAUAGCUCUU